GCUCAAUUAAACCCCAAAUACCUGCAAUCAAUAAAUAAGGAAUGACAACGCGUUUAAGGGAUUUACCCAGCAAAGAAACUGAACUGGAAACAGAUUACACCCAAGAAACCCUUUUUAUAAUUAAACAUACACCUCUCACCAAUGGAAGAGGCAUGUAAAGGAGAAGCCUUGGAAAAUCAAGAUACACGUGUUUCUCUGGGAGAACUUUUCAACAACUAGAAUUAUAUUUGUAUUAUGACAGAGCCUAGAAGCAGCAGCAAUUCAGAGAUACCUGACCAAAUCUAUGGGAAGCCUGAAAUGAUAGCUCUGAGAGAGGUGUGGCCUGUUCUUACUCACGAUAUGAAAUGCUAACUCUGAAGCCCAAUGGUGCACUUUAUAUGUCAAGCUGUUAACCAUUUCAGUGCUCAUCAAAAUGCACAAAGCAAAAGAUAAUCAUACUUGAAGGUCUAAACAAUCUAUGGGUUCUAGAAGCAGAAAUCCCAAAGCACAAUGCAGAAGGCGUGUUCUCAUUGUCUUUCCAGCCCCAUCCUGAAACCCAUCAAACUGGUAAUUUCAAGAAGAAACCUGUUUCGGCAAGUUGACUAGAUGAAUUUUACAUCCCAAAUGGGUCAUAUAAGCCUUGGAGAAGCAUCAAAACAUCUAUCAGAUGGAACUUGUGAGCUUAGUUGAAGUCUGCUGUUGUCACUACAUUAGCCUUUUCCAAAAUGAAACCACAUGCUGCUCCACGCUUCAUCGAACCACGCUCCAGUUGUGAGAAGGGUGGGUUUUCCCCACACAGUGGAAAUGGACACCUGAUCAGUCAUCAGUGCAAAGGCAAAAUACGUCAGCCCUUUGGCACAUUCAUCAUUAAGGGCCACUAAAGCCUGGAUAUACUGAAUGGAAUGAGGGAAAAAACAACAAAAAAAGAUGGCACCGCCGUAGUAUUUCACUGUGGUGAAAUGCCAACAAAUAGCUGGCACUUAGAGCUCUAUUCUGCGAGGUGCUGAGUGUCCUCAAUUCCUAUUGGUUGAGGAUGUUCAGCACCUGGCAAGAGUGCACAGCACUCUCCAAGAAUAAUCAUUUAAUAACUAAUUAUGGUCCAAACGUCGUUGGAUCUUUGAAUAGUCUCAUACAUCUCUGCCGAUGUGCCAAUGACAGCCUUGGAGAGCCAUCUAUAAAUGAAUAAGUCAUCUACUCGUCUCAUUAUAUGCAGUAUAUGUAUGUCCAACAUAACAUUUAAAUACCCAGGAGUAAAAUGGCUUGCACAUUAAAUCAAAGCUGUUAUUUAAAAUGUCAGUUCUGUAAAUCAGCGUCCAUUUGUUUCCAUCCAGAAAAUACACCCCCUGGGAAUGUUGUUGUUUAAGUCUAUCAUUAUUUUGUCUUUUCACUGGCAGGUAGAAAAUAAGAAAACAUGUUAAUGUCAUUUUAGUAAAAGCAAAAG
Mauremys mutica (yellowpond turtle) is the source of this 1420-nucleotide long non-coding RNA. RefSeq lists it as uncharacterized. The transcript has 4 exons. Lineage: Eukaryota; Metazoa; Chordata; Testudines; Geoemydidae. The record is from RefSeq and is a predicted model, not a curated record.